AAACUAACAAGGAUUCCCUUAGUAGCGGCGAGCGAAGCGGGAUGAGCUCAAAUUUGAAAUCUGGCGUCUUUCAGGCGUCCGAGUUGUAAUCUAUAGAAGCGUUUUCUGUGCUGGACCGUGUCCAAGUCCCUUGGAACAGGGUAUCAAAGAGGGUGACAAUCCCGUACUUGACACGACCACCAGUGCUCUGUGAUACGUUUUCGACGAGUCGAGUUGUUUGGGAAUGCAGCUCAAAAUGGGUGGUAAAUUCCAUCUAAAGCUAAAUAUUGGCGAGAGACCGAUAGCGAACAAGUACCGUGAGGGAAAGAUGAAAAGCACUUUGGAAAGAGAGUUAAACAGUACGUGAAAUUGUUGAAAGGGAAACGAUUGAAGUCAGUCGUGUCUAUUGGUUUCAGCCGGUCCUGCCGGUGUAUUACCUUUAGACGGGUCAACAUCAGUUUUGGACGGCAGAUAAGGGCAGUUUGAAGGUAGCACCUCCGGGUGUGUUAUAGCUUUCUGCCGCAUAUGCUGUCCGAGACUGAGGACUGCAGCUCGCCUUUUAGGCCGGGGUUCGCCCACGUUCGAGCUUAGGAUGUUGACAUAAUGGCUUUAAACGAC
RNAcentral lists this ribosomal RNA (597 nucleotides) under Derxomyces sp. RNAcentral's name for it is "partial large subunit ribosomal RNA". It matches the Rfam family "Eukaryotic large subunit ribosomal RNA", at positions 62 to 648 of the family's 3401-position model. The record is from RNAcentral. Lineage: Eukaryota; Fungi; Basidiomycota; Tremellomycetes; Tremellales; Bulleribasidiaceae.